UUUUUUCAGUUCUGUCCGUUCCACAGGUGACUAACAUUUUUUAUUUUUGUGUUUGAGCAUUUAAUUAAUUGGUUGCAAUCAGGGUGGGAAGGAGAUUUUAAGCAAUAUAGUAAAAAAUGCUCCAGGUAAACAUCUCCUACCCCGCCUUUAACUGAUGACACUUUCCAUUU
Sphaeramia orbicularis (orbiculate cardinalfish) is the source of this 170-nucleotide long non-coding RNA. RefSeq lists it as uncharacterized. The transcript is spliced from 3 exons. NCBI's taxonomy places the organism in Eukaryota, Metazoa, Chordata, Actinopteri, Kurtiformes, Apogonidae. The record is from RefSeq and is a predicted model, not a curated record.